CCUACGGGAGGCAGCAGUGGGGAAUCUUGCGCAAUGGGCGAAAGCCUGACGCAGCAACGCCGCGUGCGGGAAGAAGGCUUUCGGGCUGUAAACCGCUUUCAGCAGGAACGAAAAUGACGGUACCUGCAGAAGAAGGAGCGGCCAACUAUGUGCCAGCAGCCGCGGUGAUACAUAGGCUUCAAGCGUUGUCCGGAUUUAUUGGGCGUAAAGAGUUCGUAGGCGGUCGAGUAAGUCGGGUGUGAAAAUUCUGGGCUCAACCCAGAGACGCCACCCGAUACUGCUUAACUUGAGUUCGAUAGGGGAGUGGGGAAUUCCUAGUGUAGCGGUGAAAUGCGCAGAUAUUAGGAGGAACACCGGUGGCGAAGGCGCCACUCUGGAUCGAUACUGACGCUGAGGAACGAAAGCAUGGGUAGCAAACAGGAUUAGAUACCCUGGUAGUCCAUGCCGUAAACGGUGGGCACUAGGUGUGGGAUUCUAUUAACGAAUUCCGCGCCGUCGCUAACGCAUUAAGUGCCCCGCCUGGGGAGUACGGUCGCAAGCUAAAACUCAAAGGAAUUGACGGCUGAGAGNGCGAGACGACACGAGGAGAG
This 590-nucleotide ribosomal RNA is filed under the name uncultured bacterium. RNAcentral describes it as "bacterial SSU rRNA". It matches the Rfam family "Bacterial small subunit ribosomal RNA", at positions 338 to 948 of the family's 1533-position model. The record is from RNAcentral.